UGAAAAACCCGUUCGCCGAAAGACCAAGGGUUCCAGUCCAACGUUAAUCGGGGCUGGGUGAGUCGACCCCUAAGGCGAGGCCGAAAGGCGUAGUCGAUGGGAAAUUGGUUAAUAUUCCAAUACUUCUGUGUAAUGCGAUGAGAGGACGGAGAAGGUUAAGUCAGCCUGGCGUUGGUUGUCCAGGUGGAAGGAUGUAGGUAUGUAUCUUAGGCAAAUCCGGGGUACUCUAUACUGAGAUCCGAUAGCAAGCUGUACUUGUACAGCGAAGUGGCUGAUACCAUGCUUCCAGGAAAAGUCUCUAAGCUUCAGUUACACAGGAAUCGUACCCGAAACCGACACAGGUGGUCAGGUCGAGUAGACCAAGGCGCUUGAGAGAACUCUGCUGAAGGAACUAGGCAAAAUGGUACCGUAACUUCGGGAGAAGGUACGCUGUUGUUGGUGAUGGAACUUGCUUCCUGAGCUGAUGACAGCCGCAGAAACCAGGCCGCUGCAACUGUUUAUUAAAAACAUAGCACUCUGCAAACACGAAAGUGGACGUAUAGGGUGUGAUGCCUGCCCGGUGCUGGAAGGUUAAUUGAUGGGGUUAGCGUAAGCGAAGCUCUUGAUCGAAGCCCCAGUAAACGGCGGCCGUAACUAUAACGGUCCUAAGGUAGCGAAAUUCCUUGUCGGGUAAGUUCCGACCUGCACGAAUGGCAUAAUGAUGGCGGCGCUGUCUCCAGCAGAGGCUCAGUGAAAUCGAAAUCGCUGUGAAGAUGCAGUGUACCCGCGGCUAGACGGAAAGACCCCGUGAACCUUUACUGCAGCUUGACACUGAACUUUGACCUUACUUGUGUAGGAUAGGUGGGAGGCUUUGAAGUUGGAACGCUAGUUCCAAUGGAGCCGUCCUUGAAAUACCACCCUGGUAAUGUUGAGGUUCUAACUCUGUCCCGUUAUCCGGGACGAGGACCGUGUCUGGUGGGUAGUUUGACUGGGGCGGUCUCCUCCUAAAGAGUAACGGAGGAGUACGAAGGUGCGCUCAGCGUGGUCGGAAAUCACGCGUAGAGUAUAAAGGCAAAAGCGCGCUUAACUGCGAGACCCACAAGUCGAGCAGGUACGAAAGUAGGUCUUAGUGAUCCGGUGGUUCUGUAUGGAAGGGCCAUCGCUCAACGGAUAAAAGGUACUCUGGGGAUAACAGGCUGAUACCGCCCAAGAGUUCAUAUCGACGGCGGUGUUUGGCACCUCGAUGUCGGCUCAUCUCAUCCUGGGGCUGAAGCAGGUCCCAAGGGUAUGGCUGUUCGCCAUUUAAAGAGGUACGCGAGCUGGGUUUAGAACGUCGUGAGACAGUUCGGUCCCUAUCUACCGUGGGCGCUGGAAAUUUGAGAGGAUCUGCUCCUAGUACGAGAGGACCAGAGUGGACGAACCUCUGGUGUACCGGUUGUGACGCCAGUCGCAUCGCCGGGUAGCUAUGUUCGGAAGGGAUAACCGCUGAAAGCAUCUAAGCGGGAAGCCUACCUCAAGAUAAGAUUUCCCUAGGAAUUUAUUCCUCUAAAGAGCCGUUCGAGACUAGGACGUUGAUAGGUUGGAUGUGGAAGCAUAGUGAUAUGUGAAGCUGACCAAUACUAAUUGCUCGUGAGGCUUGACU
RNAcentral lists this ribosomal RNA (1621 nucleotides) under Acinetobacter nosocomialis TG21145. Its description in RNAcentral is "bacterial LSU rRNA". It matches the Rfam family "Bacterial large subunit ribosomal RNA", at positions 1322 to 2925 of the family's 2925-position model. The record is from RNAcentral. Lineage: Bacteria; Pseudomonadati; Pseudomonadota; Gammaproteobacteria; Moraxellales; Moraxellaceae.